Molecule: ribosomal RNA, 601 nt
Filed under: Acinetobacter venetianus
Lineage: Bacteria; Pseudomonadati; Pseudomonadota; Gammaproteobacteria; Moraxellales; Moraxellaceae
Description: bacterial SSU rRNA
Rfam family: Bacterial small subunit ribosomal RNA
Source: RNAcentral
GUGCCAGCAGCCGCGGUAAUACAGAGGGUGCGAGCGUUAAUCGGAUUUACUGGGCGUAAAGCGUGCGUAGGCGGCCAUUUAAGUCAAAUGUGAAAUCCCCGAGCUUAACUUGGGAAUUGCAUUCGAUACUGGAUGGCUAGAGUAUGGGAGAGGAUGGUAGAAUUCCAGGUGUAGCGGUGAAAUGCGUAGAGAUCUGGAGGAAUACCGAUGGCGAAGGCAGCCAUCUGGCCUAAUACUGACGCUGAGGUACGAAAGCAUGGGGAGCAAACAGGAUUAGAUACCCUGGUAGUCCAUGCCGUAAACGAUGUCUACUAGCCGUUGGGGCCUUUGAGGCUUUAGUGGCGCAGCUAACGCGAUAAGUAGACCGCCUGGGGAGUACGGUCGCAAGACUAAAACUCAAAUGAAUUGACGGGGGCCCGCACAAGCGGUGGAGCAUGUGGUUUAAUUCGAUGCAACGCGAAGAACCUUACCUGGCCUUGACAUACUAGAAACUUUCCAGAGAUGGAUUGGUGCCUUCGGGAAUCUAGAUACAGGUGCUGCAUGGCUGUCGUCAGCUCGUGUCGUGAGAUGUUGGGUUAAGUCCCGCAACGAGCGCAACCCU